Molecule: non-coding RNA, 282 nt
Organism: Pelobates cultripes (western spadefoot toad)
Lineage: Eukaryota; Metazoa; Chordata; Amphibia; Anura; Pelobatidae
Source: the annotation of a GenBank genome assembly
GGGAGGGGGUGACUAGUGACAGAGUGAGAGAGAGGGUGACUAGUGACAGAGUGAGAGAGAGGGUGACUAGUGACAGAGUGAGGAAGGGGGUGACACAGUGACAGAGUGAGGGAGGGGGUGACUAGUGACAGAGUGAAGGAGGUGGUGACUGUCACUAGUCACCCCCUCCCUCUCUCUCUCUGUCACUAGUGACACCCUCCCUCACUCUGUCACUAGUCACCCCCUCACUCUCUCUGUCACUAGUCACACCCUCCCUCUCUCUGUCACUAGUCACCCCCUCCC